Molecule: ribosomal RNA, 164 nt
Filed under: Triniochloa stipoides
Lineage: Eukaryota; Viridiplantae; Streptophyta; Magnoliopsida; Poales; Poaceae
Description: 5.8S ribosomal RNA
Rfam family: 5.8S ribosomal RNA
About the family: 5.8S ribosomal RNA (5.8S rRNA) is a component of the large subunit of the eukaryotic ribosome. It is transcribed by RNA polymerase I as part of the 45S precursor that also contains 18S and 28S rRNA. Functionally, it is thought that 5.8S rRNA may be involved in ribosome translocation.
Source: RNAcentral
AAUAUGACUCUCGGCAACGGAUAUCUCGGCUCUCGCAUCGAUGAAGAACGUAGCGAAAUGCGAUACCUGGUGUGAAUUGCAGAAUCCCGCGAACCAUCGAGUCUUUGAACGCAAGUUGCGCCUGAGGCCACCCGGCUGAGGGCACGCCUGCCUGGGCGUCACGC